GCUUUUCAAGUAUUAAUUAGUACAAGUGACUUCCAAUCAUUUAGACUUGGUGAAAAUCCAAGGAAAGGCA
RNAcentral lists this transfer RNA (70 nucleotides) under Protopterus annectens (West African lungfish). Its description in RNAcentral is "tRNA-Gly". It matches the Rfam family "tRNA". Rfam says of the family: Transfer RNA (tRNA) molecules are approximately 80 nucleotides in length. Their secondary structure includes four short double-helical elements and three loops (D, anti-codon, and T loops). The record is from RNAcentral. Lineage: Eukaryota; Metazoa; Chordata; Ceratodontiformes; Protopteridae.